This 459-nucleotide ribosomal RNA is filed under the name uncultured bacterium. RNAcentral describes it as "partial 16S ribosomal RNA". It matches the Rfam family "Bacterial small subunit ribosomal RNA", at positions 338 to 795 of the family's 1533-position model. The record is from RNAcentral.
CCUACGGGUGACAGCAGUGAGGAAUAUUGGUCAAUGGGCGCGAGCCUGAACCAGCCAAGUCGCGUGAGGGAAGACGGUCCUAUGGAUUGUAAACCUCUUUUGUCGGGGAGCAAAAGACGCCACGCGUGGCGUUCCGAGAGUACCCGAAGAAAAAGCAUCGGCUAACUCCGUGCCAGCAGCCGCGGUAAUACGGAGGAUGCGAGCGUUAUCCGGAUUUAUUGGGUUUAAAGGGUGCGCAGGCGGAAGAUCAAGUCAGCGGUAAAAUUGAGAGGCUCAACCUCUUCGAGCCGUUGAAACUGGUGUUCUUGAGUGAGCGAGAAGUAUGUGGAACGCGUGGAGUAGCGGUGAAAUGCAUAGAUAUCACGCAGAACUCCGAUUGCGAAGGCAGCAUACCGGCGCUCAACUGACGCUCAUGCACGAGAGUGUGGGUAUCGAACAGGAUUAGAUACCCGAGUAGUC